Molecule: long non-coding RNA, 1542 nt
Organism: Gorilla gorilla gorilla (western lowland gorilla)
Lineage: Eukaryota; Metazoa; Chordata; Mammalia; Primates; Hominidae
Exons: 3
Source: RefSeq, a predicted model, not a curated record
AAAAUCAAUGUUUCUUUGAAAACAGAUAGUUACAGAGACAGUGAUGGUUCAUUAUGUGUCAACUUGGCUUGGCCGUGGGGCCCAGCUGCUUGGUUAAACACUAACUUGGAUGUUGCUGUGAAGGUAUUGUGUAGAUGUGAUUGAUACGUACAAUCAGCUGACUCUGAGUAAAGUAGAUUAUCCUCUUGAAUGUGGGUGAGCUUCAUCCAAUCAGCUGAAGGCUUUCAGAGCAGAGACUGAGCCUUUCCCGAGAAAAAAGGAAUUCUGCCUCGAGCCUGCAGCACAGAAACUCUGAGUGAGUUUCCGGAGGGCUUGGCCUGCUUUGCAGAUUUCGGACUCGAGAAGCAGAGGGAGCUAAAAUGAAUGAGCUGAGGUUGCUGCCGUCAUCAUCAAUGCUUCCAACGCACAAGGAUUUGAAAACCAGACACAUCACCUUUCCAUUCCACCUGAAACAUGGUUUGAACAGAGAGUAGGAGGGCACCCCUCACCUAGAAGAAGUGACAGGGUUUCGCCAUGUUGACCAGGCUGGCCUCUAACUACUGACCUCAAGUGAUCCACUGGCCUCAGCCUCCCAAAGUGCUGCAAUUACAGGUAUGAGCCACCACGCCCAGCCGGUCCUAUAUGAUUUAAAAGACAACUGCACGUGACAAUAAUUGUAAAUUUAUGUUGAUGGAUAUAACCUAUAUAAGACGUUACCUGUACGGCAAUAAUAGCACAAAAAAGAGGAGUGAAUGGAGUUAUACAGGAGCAACAGUUUUGUAUAUAAUUUCAAUUAAGCUGUUAUAAUUCAAACUAGAUUUUUAUAAACUAAGUUGUUCAUUGCAAUCCUCAGGGUAACAAGUAAGAAAAUAACUAAAAAAAUACAGGAAAGAAAUCAGUAAAAUGGCCCUCUCCCUCUCCCCCUACCCCUACUCCUACCCCUACCCCUACCCCUAUCCCUACCCCUACCCCUACCCCUACCUCUACCUCUCUUUCCACGGUCUCCCUCUGAUGCCGGGCCGAAGCUGGACGGUACUGCUGCCAUCUCAGCUCACUGCAACCUCCCUGCCUGAUUCUCCUGCCUCAGCCUGCCGAGUGCCUGCGAUUGCAGGCGCGCGCCGCCCCGCCUGACUGGUUUUCGUGUUUUUUUGGUGGAGACGGGGUUUCGCUGUGUUGGCCGGGCUGGUCCCCAGCUCCUAACCGCGAGUGAUCGGCCAGCCUCGGCCUCCCGAGGUGCCGGGAUUGCAGACGGAGUCUCGUUCACUCGGUGCUCAAUGGUGCCCAGGCUGGAGUGCAGUGGUGUGAUCUCGGCCCGCUACAACCACCUCCCAGCCGCCUGCCUUGGCCUCCCAAAGUGCCGAGAUUGCAGCCUCUGCCCGGCUGCCGCCCCGUCUGGGAAGUGAGGAGACCCUCUGCCUGGCAACCGCCCCGUCUGAGAAGUGGGGAGCCCCUCCGCCCAGCAGCCGCCCCGCCCGAGAAGUGAGGAGCCCCUCCGCCCAGCAGCCACCCCGUCUGGGAAGUGAGGAGCAUCUCCGCCCGGCAGCCACCUCGUCCGGGAGGGAG